Molecule: long non-coding RNA, 3402 nt
Filed under: Octopus vulgaris (common octopus)
Lineage: Eukaryota; Metazoa; Mollusca; Cephalopoda; Octopoda; Octopodidae
Source: RNAcentral
AUAUAACAAGUGCGCGCACACACACACACAUACAUCUAAAUAUGUGUGUGUAUGUGUCAGUGUGUAAGUGUAUGCGUCAAUACUUUACUAUAAAUAUAUAAAUAAAGCUAACCGAACGUGUCGGAAGCUUUGGUUGCGUAAAUGUUUGCGGUACGUGUUUUUGGAUUUGGUCAUACAUCUGGAUGGAAUCUCAUGUUACCGGUUAGUGUCUUUACGAUUGUUCAUUUUUGUUCUUCUAGUUCCAUUCAUUCUUCAGCCACAGAGAUGAAGACGCCGAUAUAUUAAUAAGGUAUUGAUUUGGAGUCGUCGUUAGCGAAAACAUUACGCUUCUCAUUCAUUCACUGAUGUAAAUAUGUCAAUCUUUUUUCUUCUUUCGGUUUCUUCCUUGCGACAAAAUUCAUGUUAUAUAUAUAUAUUUUUAGUUCAUCUCUCGUCAUAUGUGCAGUUGUAAGCAAUAUGAAUUUACAUAGAUCUUCAUUAUUUUGUAUUACGGGGAAAAUAUUCUGAAUAUAACCUUAUUUUUGUAUUUUCUUUAAUUAAACGUUGCGUGUUUCUUUAUUUAAUGUUUAUUUCAUUUGUAAUUCAUUUCGAAACGCUGUUUUAUUCACAUAUACAUACAUAUAUACACUUAGGCGCAAGGUUAUAUUAAACACUUGUUCUGUACCACACAAUAAACAACAUAAUUUUCCCGUGGCAUAAAGCGACUUUUCUAAUUGUGUGGGAGAUAUAGUCAAGUGAUUGUUGCUGUGAUAUACCACAUAUUACAGACUACGAGUGAAUAGAAAGUAAAGUGAACCCGAAGAGUAAUUUACUGUUGGAACCGUGACGUACUAAAAACUGGGUUCUAUUUAGUUCUAGAGUUUGCGUCAAAACCAUCGUCUUUGUAUGAUAAUGUUGACGUUCUUGAGAGAGAGAAAGCGGGAAUGUAUAGACGGAAGGUGUGAGGAAAAAGAAAGACAGAUAAAAUAAGGGAAUAUAUCGCCGAAAGAGUAUUGAGAGAGAAAGGAAGUCAAUAUAUGGAUGAAGAUUGGCAGACAGAAAGAAAGAAAUAAUGGGAGUAUACAGACGGUGCGUGGGAGACAGGGAAAGCGGGAGUAUACAGACGAAUGGUGACAAAAGUGACUUGGAACAUUUCUUUGCUUUAUUUUUUCGAAUUUAGUUUUAGUUCAUAAAAGAAGUAAAGAGUAAUAAAUAUAAUUUUGUUAAAUGUUUCACCUGUUUUGUUUUAGUUACCAAAACAGAUUCAGCCUCUUGUCAACUUUGAUUGAGCAGACCUGUGAUGAGAGGCAUUCCAUCUGUGAAUAUUCUGUCCCCUGAAUGAGGACAUCAUCAAAUAAGUAUUUCCCAUUUUUAAGACAAUACAAUGUGAUUGGAACUAAAUUUGGAUGUUAGCUCUAAUAAGUCCAUAUACUUCGUUGUCACGUUUUGUCCUGACUGCAUAGUCCUAUGAUCAAACGCGUUCCAGCUGUGAUCAUUUCAUCUUUUAUAUUUUUUUACAUAGACAUAAUGUACCUCGGGUUACAUUAUCCAAUGUGCCCUUUCCUUUUUUUUAAAAUGAGGAACAUCAUUGCUGUUUAUAGCAGACUGUAUUACCGUAUAGAAGUUCCAUCCCAAAUCGCUAAUCGUCUAAUCAACACGUGGAACACAUUCUGGUCUGUUAUUGUUGUCUGCUCUGGUAAUUCUGUAUGCUUUCUUAAUUAGUCUACAACAAUCUGUUAAUCUCUAUACCUCACUGGUUUCAGCACUACAUAAUUUAGUAUAGUGCAGUUUGAUAGAUGCUAAGAGGGUCUUAAAUUUUAUUUUCGUUCAUCGGAUGGAGUGAAGAGUUGUAAAACAUGCCAACGCAUCUCUCCAUUUAAGUUUCCUGGAAUGAACGUAUACUCUCCAUAACAUGUAUGCAUGUAGCAUACGUGCAAACACAUGUAAAGUAAUUUCGGCCGAGUGCACUGAAGUGACAUGUACACCUAUAAAAAAAAUGAGUGCAUGUAUGUAUGUUUACACACGCACUAAUUCGCACUCACACAUCUACAGUUUACUGGGAUUUAAAAAUUUCUUUUCAGUUGGUUGGUUUAACGGAUGGGGCAGUGCUCAUCACCUACUUAGGCCCUCCGAGGUUGGUGAAAUCGAUGCUAUUAAUGUUUCUCUUGAACCAUUGUAAAUCAAUACCUGCGGAAGAGAAAUGAGCUGAGAGGGAGUUCAAGUGGACUGAUGUUUUGGGAAGCAAGACUGAGGAAAGUAAUUGAUGCAGGGUCUGGGUAUGGUUGACGAGAGGAUGUUGGGAUCGCCCGAAUUGAGUUGGCGUGAGCCCAGCAAACUCGCUGGAGUUAAGGCCAUUAUAGAAUCACUAGGAAACACACACAUACACAGAGAAGAGUAGCUGAAGCGUGUCUGUGGGUGACAUUAUACCAGACACCAGGGUAGCAUCUGUCUGGAUGAGUUUUAUGUCUGGCCUGCUUGAACGCUGCAAAAAAACCUUUCAUAAAUCUUAACCACACAUACAUUUGUGCACCUGCAUAUAAUAGAGGUGCACACUUUUACAUAUUUACACACAUGCGCAGGGACUUUCAAAACAGAGAUCAGAUAUGGCCGUGUUGUUAAGUUUUCUUUGUAUCUUCCUUUUUUUUUUUUGUUUUGUUUGAUAUCAAACUAUGAAGCCCAGAAAGGAUUCUUUAUAGAUUUACGGGACUUGCGUACAAGUUUCUGUCUACAAAAUCCCACCCAUAUGGUAUUGGUAGUAAAUUUGAAAACUGUGAUUAAAACAAAACUAAAAAACUCUUGCCCAAGUUGAUGUACAGCAGAAUGGAUCCCAGAAUCACAGAGUUGCAAAAUACACUUCUUUACCCAAAGAACUCUGUCUGACCGCUAUUGGAAAGCCUUUAAUCAUAGGUCUGCUCAAUCAGGGUAGAUCUGGGUCUAUACUGUGUGCGUCUUAAUAUUUGUCGGUUUGUUUGUAUCCCUAAGUUAGCGGUUCGGCAAUAAGAAUCCGAUAGAAUAACUGUUAGACUUUAAGCUACUCCUUAGGUCGAUUUGAUCGACUAAGCUCAAGGUAGAGUCCCAAUACAGUGGAAGUCUAAUGACUGGCGCAAAUACAAUAAUAAACGACCACACCCAUAAAAAGACGGAUGACAAAUAUCAACAAUUCGUAUUGUGCCCCCAAUGAUCCUGUUUAGGUUCACGGCGAUCUUGAGUGACCAGACAUGAUUAAAUGUGUUCCAGCUGUAACCAUACUCUCUUUUUAUGGGAAUCUGGGAGUACAUGAUCUAGUGUUUUAUUUCUUUAUUGAAGACGAGCGGGCAGUACCUUCCAACUUUUUAAGGGUUUGUUUUAAUAAAAGAAACAUGACAAAUAAAAUAGAUAAAACAUUAAAUAUGUUUCAAAUAUAUUGAAUAUUGUAAAGUUGCU